RNAcentral lists this ribosomal RNA (402 nucleotides) under Enterococcus casseliflavus. RNAcentral's name for it is "bacterial SSU rRNA". It matches the Rfam family "Bacterial small subunit ribosomal RNA", at positions 96 to 486 of the family's 1533-position model. The record is from RNAcentral. Lineage: Bacteria; Bacillati; Bacillota; Bacilli; Lactobacillales; Enterococcaceae.
UGGCGAACGGGUGAGUAACACGUGGGUAACCUGCCCAUCAGAAGGGGAUAACACUUGGAAACAGGUGCUAAUACCGUAUAACACUAUUUUCCGCAUGGAAGAAAGUUGAAAGGCGCUUUUGCGUCACUGAUGGAUGGACCCGCGGUGCAUUAGCUAGUUGGUGAGGUAACGGCUCACCAAGGCAACGAUGCAUAGCCGACCUGAGAGGGUGAUCGGCCACACUGGGACUGAGACACGGCCCAGACUCCUACGGGAGGCAGCAGUAGGGAAUCUUCGGCAAUGGACGAAGGUCUGACCGAGCAACGCCGCGUGAGUGAAGAAGGUUUUCGGAUCGUAAAACUCUGUUGUUAGAGAAGAACAAGGAUGAGAGUAGAACGUUCAUCCCUUGACGUAUCUAACCAG